GGGCCCAUAGCUCAGUUGGUUAGAGCAGGGGACUCAUAAUCCCUUGGUCGCAGGUUCGAGUCCUGCUGGGCCCA
Molecule: transfer RNA, 74 nt
Filed under: Actinomycetes bacterium
Lineage: Bacteria; Bacillati; Actinomycetota; Actinomycetes
Also listed under: 1 other name
Description: tRNA-Ile
Rfam family: tRNA
About the family: Transfer RNA (tRNA) molecules are approximately 80 nucleotides in length. Their secondary structure includes four short double-helical elements and three loops (D, anti-codon, and T loops).
Source: RNAcentral